AUACCUACCUGGCAGGGGAGACACCAUGAUCAUGAAGGUGGUUUUCCUGGAGAGAGGCUCAUCCAUUGCAUUCUGGGUGUGCUGAACCCUGCGAUUUCCCCAAUUGUGGGAAACUUGACUGCAUAAUUUGUGGUAGUAUUUGUGAAUCUCCCAGAGAUCUUUGGUU
Small nuclear RNA from Elgaria multicarinata webbii, 166 nucleotides. RefSeq annotates it as U1 spliceosomal RNA. The record is from RefSeq and is a predicted model, not a curated record. The transcript has a single exon. NCBI's taxonomy places the organism in Eukaryota, Metazoa, Chordata, Lepidosauria, Squamata, Anguidae.